AGUUUGAUCCUGGCUCAGGAUAAACGCUGGCGGCGCACAUAAGACAUGCAAGUCGAACGGACUUAACCUUAUCUUUUAGAUUAGGAGCGGUUAGUGGCGGACUGGUGAGUAACGCGUGAGCAACCUGCCUAUUAGAGGGGAAUAACAGUGAGAAAUCAUUGCUAAUACCGCAUAAGCUGAUAGAAUCGCAUGAUUUUAGUCAGAAAAGGAGCAAUCCGCUAAUAGAUGGGCUCGCGUCUGAUUAGCUAGUUGGUGGGCAACGGCCUACCAAGGCGACGAUCAGUAGCCGGACUGAGAGGUUGAACGGCCACAUUGGGACUGAGAUACGGCCCAGACUCCUACGGGAGGCAGCAGUCGGGAAUCUUCCGCAAUGGGCGAAAGCCUGACGGAGCGAUGCCGCGUGGGGGACGGAGGCCUUCGGGUCGUGAACCCCUGUCACCCGGGACGAAUCAACUGACGGUACCGGGAGAGGAAGCCACGGCUAACUACGUGCCAGCCGCCGC
RNAcentral lists this ribosomal RNA (503 nucleotides) under uncultured bacterium. RNAcentral describes it as "bacterial SSU rRNA". It matches the Rfam family "Bacterial small subunit ribosomal RNA", at positions 10 to 518 of the family's 1533-position model. The record is from RNAcentral.